GAUGAACGCUGGCGGCGUGCCUAACACAUGCAAGUCGAACGGAGUUCUUAAGGAAUGCGACUUCGGUCAAAUGACUUUUGAACUUAGUGGCGGACGGGUGAGUAACGCGUGAGCAACCUGCCUUUCAGAGGGGGAUAACGUUCUGAAAAGAACGCUAAUACCGCAUAUAAUCAAGAAACCGCAUGAUUUUUUGAUGAAAGGAGCAAUCCGCUGAGAGAUGGACUCGCGUCUGAUUAGCUAGAUGGUGGGGUAACGGCCUACCAUGGCGACGAUCAGUAGCCGGACUGAGAGGUUGAACGGCCACAUUGGGACUGAGACACGGCCCAGACUCCUACGGGAGGCAGCAGUGGGGGAUAUUGCGCAAUGGGGGAAACCCUGACGCAGCAAUGCCGCGUGAAGGAAGAAGGUUUUCGGAUUGUAAACUUCUUUUGUUAAGGACGAAGAAUGACGGUACUUAACGAAUAAGCUCCGGCUAACUAUGUG
RNAcentral lists this ribosomal RNA (483 nucleotides) under uncultured bacterium. Its description in RNAcentral is "bacterial SSU rRNA". It matches the Rfam family "Bacterial small subunit ribosomal RNA", at positions 28 to 507 of the family's 1533-position model. The record is from RNAcentral.